RNAcentral lists this ribosomal RNA (499 nucleotides) under uncultured Glomeromycotina. RNAcentral describes it as "partial small subunit ribosomal RNA". It matches the Rfam family "Eukaryotic small subunit ribosomal RNA", at positions 591 to 1091 of the family's 1831-position model. Lineage: Eukaryota; Fungi; Glomeromycota. The record is from RNAcentral.
CCAAUAGCGUAUAUUAAAGUUGUUGCAGUUAAAAAGCUCGUAGUUGAAUUUCGGGAUCAGCGCGUCGGUCGUGCCUCCGGUAUGCACUGGCGCCGCUGGUUUCUCCCUUCUGAGGAACCGUGAUGUCAUUAAUUUGGUGUCGCGGGAAAUCAGGACUGUUACUUUGAAAAAAUUAGAGUGUUUAAAGCGGGCACGCGCUUGAAUACAUUAGCAUGGAAUAACGAAAUAGGACGUUCGAUCUUAUUUUGUUGGUUUCUAGGAUUGACGUAAUGAUUAAUAGGGAUAGUUGGGGGCAUUAGUAUUCAAUUGUCAGAGGUGAAAUUCUUGGAUUUAUUGAAGACUAACUACUGCGAAAGCAUUUGCCAAGGAUGUUUUCAUUAAUCAAGAACGAAAGUUAGGGGAUCGAAGACGAUCAGAUACCGUCGUAGUCUUAACCAUAAACUAUGCCGACUAGGGAUCGGAUGAUGUUAAUUUUAUAAUGACUCAUUCGGCGCCUUAC